AGUCGAGAAUAAUUCACAAUGGGCGAAAGCCUGAUGGUGCAACGCCGCGUGGAGGAAGAAGGUCUUCGGAUUGUAAACUCCUGUCAUCGGGGAGUAAGACCUGGGCGUGAAUAGCGCACAGGGUUGAUAGUACCCGAAGAGGAAGGGACGGCUAACUUCGUGCCAGCAGCCGCGGUAAUACGAAGGUCCCAAGCGUUGUUCGGAAUCACUGGGCGUAAAGGGAGCGUAGGCUGCGCGGUAAGUCAGGUGUGAAAUCCCGGGGCUCAACCCCGGAACUGCACCCGAUACUGCCGUGCUUGAGGGUUGGAGAGGUAGCUGGAAUUCUCGGUGUAGCAGUGAAAUGCGUGGAUAUCGAGAGGAACACUCGUGGCGAAGGCGAGCUACUGGACAACAUCUGACGCUGAGGCUCGAAGGCCAGGGGAGCAAA
Molecule: ribosomal RNA, 427 nt
Filed under: uncultured Haloferula sp.
Lineage: Bacteria; Pseudomonadati; Verrucomicrobiota; Verrucomicrobiia; Verrucomicrobiales; Verrucomicrobiaceae
Description: bacterial SSU rRNA
Rfam family: Bacterial small subunit ribosomal RNA
Source: RNAcentral